AACAAAGUUUGUACGUCACUGAGUGAUUUACCUUCUUUCAUCAGGAACUUAGCAAGUUUCUCAGUAAAAUCUCCAGAGGCAGUGUCAGGUACGGAUUCUCUUGGUUGGACUGCUGUGAUGGUCCAUGGCUCUUUAUUUUCUCCAGGUGACACUUCUGGAGGUAGGUGUGUGGUGUCAAUGGCUUGUCUGCACUCACACAACGCAAAGACAAAUCGUGAGGUAGGUCCUUCUCUUGUGUCUCUGACACGAACUCUUCCUAGGGCUUUUAUGGUUUCCAAAGUCUCUUCCAUCUUAGCCACUUCUGUGUGUACAGGUACAUUACUCAACAUUAAAGCAUGACCCUCAUCAACACCAACAUCUUUGCACCAGCUGAUUAACUCUGCUUGCAGGAAUUCUUCAGUGACUUACCAGAGGGAGAUCCCGGACGAGCCCCCAAUUUAUGUAGCGCCCCCUACCUCCUUUUAUAAUGGCUUAGUAAGGAGCAGCACCAGGUUCAAUAAACUAAUGCCUAAGAGAUGGUGUAUUAAAAAGGCCCCUCUGA
Long non-coding RNA from Puntigrus tetrazona (Sumatra barb), 541 nucleotides. RefSeq lists it as uncharacterized. The transcript has 2 exons. NCBI's taxonomy places the organism in Eukaryota, Metazoa, Chordata, Actinopteri, Cypriniformes, Cyprinidae. The record is from RefSeq and is a predicted model, not a curated record.